GACGAACGCUGGCGGCGUGCUUAACACAUGCAAGUCGAACGGAAAGGCCCUGCUUUUGUGGGGUGCUCGAGUGGCGAACGGGUGAGUAACACGUGAGUAACCUGCCCUUGACUUUGGGAUAACUUCAGGAAACUGGGGCUAAUACCGGAUAGGAGCUCCUGCUGCAUGGUGGGGGUUGGAAAGUUUCGGCGGUUGGGGUAGGACUCGCGGCUUAUGAGCUUGUUGGGGGGGUAGUGGCUUACCAAGGCUUUGAAGGGUAGCCGGCCUGAGAGGGGGAACGGCCACAGUUGGACUGAGGUACGGACCAGAAUCCUACGGGAGGCAGCAGUGGGGAAUAUUGCACAAUGGGCGGAAGCCUGAUGCAGCAACGCCGCGUGCGGGAUGACGGCCUUCGGGUUGUAAACCGCUUUCGCCUGUGACGAAGCGUGAGUGACGGUAAUGGGUAAAGAAGCACUGGCUAACUACGUG
This 468-nucleotide ribosomal RNA is filed under the name uncultured bacterium. RNAcentral's name for it is "partial 16S ribosomal RNA". It matches the Rfam family "Bacterial small subunit ribosomal RNA", at positions 28 to 507 of the family's 1533-position model. The record is from RNAcentral.